AAACUCAAAUGAAUUGACGGGGCCCGCACAAGCGGAGGAACAUGUGGUUUAAUUCGAUGAUACGCGAGGAACCUUACCUGGGCUUAAAUGGGGAGUGACAGCUGUCGAAAGAUGGUUUUCUUCGGACACUCUUCAAGGUGCUGCAUGGUUGUCGUCAGCUCGUGCCGUGAGGUGUCGGGUUAAGUCCCAUAACGAGCGCAACCCUUACCGUUAGUUACCAUCAGGUUAAGCUGGGGACUCUAGCGGGACUGCCACCGUAAGGUGAGAGGAAGGUGGGGAUGACGUCAAAUCAGCACGGCCCUUAUGUCCAGGGCUACACACGUGUUACAAUGGCCAGUACAAAGGGCAGCUACCGGGUGACCGGAUGCUAAUCUCUAAAGCUGGUCUCAGUUCGGAUCGAAGUCUGCAACCCGACUUCGUGAAGCUGGAUUCGCUAGUAAUCGCGCAUCAGCCAUGGCGCGGUGAAUACGUUCCCGGGCCUU
Molecule: ribosomal RNA, 482 nt
Filed under: uncultured Sphingobacteriales bacterium
Lineage: Bacteria; Pseudomonadati; Bacteroidota; Sphingobacteriia; Sphingobacteriales
Description: bacterial SSU rRNA
Rfam family: Bacterial small subunit ribosomal RNA
Source: RNAcentral